AGAAAACUGAAUAAUUCUUAUUACUUUCAAAAAUGGGUCAUUUACAAUGAAGCAAAGACUAGAGCUUUAUAGGCUCGACAAGGACAGACUCUAACAGUCAUAAAAUGAUAAAAGGAAACAAAAUAACUUGAACUUAAAGUCUUGGGAGCAAAGGCUUUGAUGACUCCAUGGAAUAUAGCCGUUAGGCUUGAUUUGCUUCCUUCCAAAAGAGAAACUUGUGAAGACUUGUAUCUUGAUAGCUUCUGGACGUGGCCAUGAUCUUCAAGCCUUCCUGAAAUACUCCUUGGCCUCAGUAAAAGAGAAUAUGGCCGUUGGUCUUGGGCAAAAAUCUGUAGAAACUUCUCCAAAGCAUUUAGUGUAGAUGUUGCCAAAUAUGGAAGGUUGAUGGGAAGAGAGAUCCGCCUGAUCUCCUGGGUGCUGGUCCAGCUGAGGACGUCUUGGAUGUAUUCUGAAUGGUCUAGAGUAUCUCCUGGUUCCCAUAGAUAGCCCUGGGUCGAACCAAGUUGAAUUGGUUGAAGAC
RNAcentral lists this long non-coding RNA (520 nucleotides) under Brassica rapa (field mustard). Its description in RNAcentral is "long non-coding RNA (BRAP_LNC008263)". Lineage: Eukaryota; Viridiplantae; Streptophyta; Magnoliopsida; Brassicales; Brassicaceae. The record is from RNAcentral.